CUCCUUGGAGGUGAAUCGAACCCCGUCUCCCUCUUAACAAGCCGGGAUACUGACCACUAUACUAGCGAGGA
Molecule: non-coding RNA, 71 nt
Organism: Araneus ventricosus
Lineage: Eukaryota; Metazoa; Arthropoda; Arachnida; Araneae; Araneidae
Source: the annotation of a GenBank genome assembly